UAUUAUGGAGAGUUUGAUUCUGGCUCAGGGUGAACGCUGGCGGCAUGCUUAACACAUGCAAGUUGAACGAAGACAAUAGAUUAAAACUUUGGUUUUACCUAUUGAAAUUAGUAGCGGACGGGUGAGUAACACGUGAACAUCUACCUUUAGGACAAGAAUAACCACUGGAAACGGGGGCUAAUACUUGAUAUGCUGAGAAGUUAAAGGAUUUCCGCCUUUAGAUGAUGUCGCGCUUGAUUAGCUUGUUGGUGGGGUAAUGGCCUACCAAGGCGACAAUCAAUAGCUGUUUUGAGAGAGAGAUCAGCCACACUGGGACUGAGACACGGCCCAGACUCCUACGGGAGGCAGCAGUGAGGAAUUUUCCGCAAUGGGCGAAAGCCUGACGGAGCAAUGCCGCGUGAAGGAUGAAGUUCUAAGGAGCGUAAACUUCUUUUCUUAAGAAAGAUAAUGACGGUACUUAAGGAAUAAGCAUCAGCUAACUAUGUGCCAGCAGCUGCGGUAAUACAUGGGAUGCAAGCGUUAUCCGGAAUGAUUGGGCGUAAAACGUCUGCAGGUGGUUUUGAAAGUCUAUUGUCAAAGACUAAGGCUCAACCUUAGGCCGGCAAUGGAAACUUCAUUACUAGAGUGGGGUAGAGGUAGAGGGAAUUUCUGGAGGAACGGUGAAAUGUACAGAUACCAGAAAGAACACCAACAGCGAAGGCACUCUACUGGGCCCAUACUGACACUCAGAGACGAAAGCUAGGGGAGCGACAAGGAUUAGAUACCCUUUUAGUCCUAGCUGUAAACGAUGAUGACUAGGUGUUGGUCUGUACGCGGAUCAGUGCUGUAGCUAACGCAUUAAGUCAUCUGCCUGGGGAGUAUGCUCGCAAGAGUGAAACUCAAAGAAAUUGACGGGGGCCCGCACAAGCGGUGGAGCAUGUGGUUUAAUUCGAUGCAACGCGAAGAACCUUACCGAGGUUUGACAUACUACAGCCUCUAUGUAGGCAACUUAAUCUGGAAACAGUAAAUUUUAAGGUAGUUACAGGUGGUGCAUGGCUGUCGUCAGCUCGUGUCGCAAGAUGUAUGGUUAAGUCCCGUAACGAGCGCAACCCUUAUGGUUAAUAACAGGUAUUAAAUUAUUAAAUUAGCCAGACUGCCAGUCUCAAACUGGAGGAAGGUGGGGACGACGUCAAGUCAGCAUGCCCCUUAUAUCUCGGGCUACACACGUGCUACAAUGGUUAAGACAAAGGGAAACAACCUUGCAAAAGUAAGUAAAGCUCACAAACUUAAUCUUAGUUCGGAUUGUAGGCUGCAACUCGCCUACAUGAAGGUGGAAUCGCUAGUAAUCGCAGGUCAGCUAUACUGCGGUGAAUACGUUCCCGGGCCUUGUACACACCGCCCGUCACACCAUAAAAGUUGAUUAGGCCCGAAGUCGUUGUAAACGCCGAAGGCAUGGUUAGUAAUUAGGGUGAAGUCGUAACAAGGUAGGGCUACUGGAAGGUGGCCCUGGAUCACCUCCUUC
This 1501-nucleotide ribosomal RNA is filed under the name Blidingia minima. RNAcentral's name for it is "bacterial SSU rRNA". It matches the Rfam family "Bacterial small subunit ribosomal RNA". Lineage: Eukaryota; Viridiplantae; Chlorophyta; Ulvophyceae; Ulvales; Ulvaceae. The record is from RNAcentral.